ACGCUGGCGGCAGGCCUAACACAUGCAAGUCGAACGGUAGCACAGAGAGCUUGCUCUCGGGUGACGAGUGGCGGACGGGUGAGUAAUGUCUGGGAAACUGCCUGAUGGAGGGGGAUAACUACUGGAAACGGUAGCUAAUACCGCAUAACGUCGCAAGACCAAAGAGGGGGACCUUCAGGCCUCUUGCCAUCAGAUGUGCCCAGAUGGGAUUAGCUAGUAGGUGGGGUAACGGCUCACCUAGGCGACGAUCCCUAGCUGGUCUGAGAGGAUGACCAGCCACACUGGAACUGAGACACGGUCCAGACUCCUACGGGAGGCAGCAGUGGGGAAUAUUGCACAAUGGGCGCAAGCCUGAUGCAGCCAUGCCGCGUGUAUGAAGAAGGCCUUCGGGUUGUAAAGUACUUUCAGCGGGGAGGAAGGUGUUGCG
This 427-nucleotide ribosomal RNA is filed under the name Enterobacter sp. 363(2010). RNAcentral describes it as "bacterial SSU rRNA". It matches the Rfam family "Bacterial small subunit ribosomal RNA", at positions 33 to 458 of the family's 1533-position model. The record is from RNAcentral. Lineage: Bacteria; Pseudomonadati; Pseudomonadota; Gammaproteobacteria; Enterobacterales; Enterobacteriaceae.